AUACGAAAGGUGCAAGCGUUGUUCGGAUUUACUGGGCGUAAAGCGCGCGUAGGCGGUUUGGAAAGUCAGAUGUGAAAUCCCAGGGCUCAACCCUGGAACUGCAUUUGAAACUAUCAGACUAGAGAUUGGGAGAGGUAAGUGGAAUUCCGAGUGUAGAGGUGAAAUUCGUAGAUAUUCGGAGGAACACCAGAGGCGAAGGCGACUUACUGGACCAAUACUGACGCUGGGGUGCGAAAGCGUGGGGAGCAAACAGGAUUAGAAACCCUAGUAGUCC
RNAcentral lists this ribosomal RNA (274 nucleotides) under uncultured bacterium. RNAcentral's name for it is "partial 16S ribosomal RNA". It matches the Rfam family "Bacterial small subunit ribosomal RNA", at positions 523 to 796 of the family's 1533-position model. The record is from RNAcentral.